CACGCCCUAAACGAUGACAACUAGCUUUUCGGAGUAUCGACCCUCUGAGAGGCGAAGCUAACGCGUUAAGUUGUCCGCCUGGGUAGUACGACCGCAAGGUUAAAACUCAAAGGAAUAGACGGGGACUUGCACAAGCAGUGGAUUAUGUGGUUUAAUUCGAUGAUAAACGAAAAACCUUACCAAGAUUUGAAACCUAACUGAAGACAAGCAGAAACGUUUGUCGUCUCACAAGGACAGUUAGGCAGGUGA
Molecule: ribosomal RNA, 249 nt
Filed under: uncultured bacterium
Lineage: Bacteria
Description: partial 16S ribosomal RNA
Rfam family: Bacterial small subunit ribosomal RNA
Source: RNAcentral